AAGUCGUAACAAGGUCUCCGUUGGUGAACCAGCGGAGGGAUCAUUACCGAGUUUACAACUCCCAAACCCAUGUGAACAUACCUUUUGUUGCUUCGGCGGGAUGCCCCCGGCGCCUAGCGUGCCCGGGACCCAGGCCCCCGCCGGAGGACCCAAACUCUUGUUUUUAUAUAGAACUUCUGAGUGGAUUAUUUUAAUAAUUAAAACUUUCAACAACGGAUCUCUUGGUUCUG
Molecule: unclassified non-coding RNA, 230 nt
Filed under: Hypocreales sp.
Lineage: Eukaryota; Fungi; Ascomycota; Sordariomycetes; Hypocreales
Description: partial contains small subunit ribosomal RNA, internal transcribed spacer 1, and 5.8S ribosomal RNA
Rfam family: Eukaryotic small subunit ribosomal RNA (bases 1-46)
Source: RNAcentral